AACGAACGCUGGCGGCAUGCCUAACACAUGCAAGUCGAACGAGACCUUCGGGUCUAGUGGCGCACGGGUGCGUAACGCGUGGGAACCUGCCCUUAGGUUCGGAAUAACUCCCCGAAAGGGGUGCUAAUACCGGAUAAUGUCUUCGGACCAAAGAUUUAUCGCCUUUGGAUGGGCCCGCGUUGGAUUAGCUAGUUGGUAGGGUAAAAGCCUAUCAAGGCGACGAUCCAUAGCUGGUCUGAGAGGAUGAUCAGCCACACUGGGACGAAGACACGGCCCAGACUCCUACGGGAGGCAGCAGUGGGGAAUAUUGGACAAUGGGCGAAAGCCUGAUCCAGCAAUGCCGCGUGAGUGAUGAAGGCCUUAGGGUUGUAAAGCUCUUUUACCCGGGAUGAUAAUGACAGUACCGGGAGAAUAAGCUCCGGCUAACUCCGUG
RNAcentral lists this ribosomal RNA (433 nucleotides) under uncultured bacterium. Its description in RNAcentral is "partial 16S ribosomal RNA". It matches the Rfam family "Bacterial small subunit ribosomal RNA", at positions 29 to 507 of the family's 1533-position model. The record is from RNAcentral.